AUGAGUGUGUUCAAACUACCGGCCUCAGUGUGUGAUGAUCUAACCAAGAUGAUGAGGCAAUAUUGGUGUGGGGUGGAAAAUGGCAAGAGGAAGAUGGCAUGGCUAAGCUGGGAGAGGAUGAUGUUACCCAAGGCCAUGGGGGGCAUGGGAUUCCGAGACAUGAGAGCUUUUAAUCAAGCUUUUCUUGCCAAGCAGGCCUGGCACCUACUGGAUAGCCCAGACAGCUUAUGUGUGAGAUUAUUGAAGGCUAAAUAUUACCCAAGGGGAAAUUUGCUUGACACUGUUUUUUCAUCUAAUAGUUCGGCGGUGUGGAAAGGUAUCGUUCAUGGACUUGAGCUGGUG
Molecule: ribosomal RNA, 342 nt
Filed under: Triticum aestivum (bread wheat)
Lineage: Eukaryota; Viridiplantae; Streptophyta; Magnoliopsida; Poales; Poaceae
Description: partial small subunit ribosomal RNA
Source: RNAcentral